UACGUGGGGGGCAAAUGUUGUUCGGAAUCACUGGGCGUAAAGGGAGCGUAGGCGGGUUCUUAAGUUAGGUGUUUAAUCCCGGGGCCCAACCCCGGACCGGCACUUAAAACUGGGAAUCUUGAAUAGUGGAGAGGUCAGUGGAAUUGGGGGUGUAGCGGUGGAAUGCGUAGAGAUCCCCAAGAACACCAGUUGCGAAGGCGGCUGACUGGACACAUAUUGACGCUGAGGCUCGAAAGCAUGGGGAGCAAACAGG
Molecule: ribosomal RNA, 253 nt
Filed under: uncultured bacterium
Lineage: Bacteria
Description: partial 16S ribosomal RNA
Rfam family: Bacterial small subunit ribosomal RNA
Source: RNAcentral